AAGACAGAUCGGGCAAUCGCGGUGCUUCGUGCAUCGAGGAAGGUCCGGACUCCACAGGGCGGGAUAACGGUUAACGACCGUCCGUCGUCCCAUGCGCAAGCGUGUGGACGGCGAGGACUAGGGCCACAGAGACGAGUCUGCAGUGAGGGUGUGCCGCAAGGCGCGCACCGCCACGGUGUAGCCGUGGUGUAGGGUUCGCUUGUCGAGCCUGGCAUUGCAGGGUGAAACGCGGCAACCUCUAUCCGGAGCAACACCAAAUAGGCAUGCGUGUGGUUUCGGCCACGACGGGCGGCUCCGUCCAAGUAUGCGGGUAGGUGGCUAGAGCAUUUCAGCAAUGAAAUGCCCAGAGGAAUGAUUGCCGACCCAUGCAAAUGGGUUUACAGAAUCCGGCCUAUAGAUCUGUCUUGCAC
Molecule: RNase P RNA, 410 nt
Filed under: Zwartia panacis
Lineage: Bacteria; Pseudomonadati; Pseudomonadota; Betaproteobacteria; Burkholderiales; Alcaligenaceae
Description: RNase P RNA component class A
Rfam family: Bacterial RNase P class A
About the family: Ribonuclease P (RNase P) is a ubiquitous endoribonuclease, found in archaea, bacteria and eukarya as well as chloroplasts and mitochondria. Its best characterised activity is the generation of mature 5'-ends of tRNAs by cleaving the 5'-leader elements of precursor-tRNAs.
Source: RNAcentral